UUAGCUGGAUCCAUCGUUAAAG
Molecule: unclassified non-coding RNA, 22 nt
Filed under: Mus musculus (house mouse)
Lineage: Eukaryota; Metazoa; Chordata; Mammalia; Rodentia; Muridae
Description: oocyte_clustered_small_RNA13653
Source: RNAcentral